GUUCUUUCCUGUGCUGAGAUUACUAAGAGACUGGGUCUCACUCUGUUGCCCAAGCUGGAGUGCAGUGGCAUAGUCAUAGCUCACUGCAGCCUUCAACUUCUGGGCUCAAGUGAUUCUCCCAUCUCAGCCUGCCAAGUAGCUGGGACAACAGGUGAAAUUGAAGGCCAGCUUUUGGAACUCAGCCUUCAAAAGAACUUAAAAUUUCCAUUAUGUAGAGUCCUUGAGGAAACUGGAUCCACUAGCUACACUGGCUGAGAAUGCCCUCACCCCAGGAUUUCAUUUUUAUUUGACCACAUCAUUGUUGGUAUCUUAAGAUCAAUGUACUGGAGCAGUGAGGUCUCACAAAGAGGAUAACUGUUGACACACCCAGGCUUUCAGAAUGCACUGUGGGGCUUUAGUGACUUGUCCAGGUUCAGCUGAAAUGUGUCAUCUGGGACCUACUAAUGUUUGUUGAACUUUACUGGAUUUCAGAAGCUGGGUCUCAGAAGCUCAGAUGUUCCUUGGAGCUACGAUAUCAACAGCCUGUGAUGACGGAGAGAAGGUUGCUCCAUGAUGGAUUUGGAAACUUACUGGCUAGCUAAACCUGACUGAAUGGGAAGGAAUGUGGAUAGCUUUGGAACUCUAGUUUCACUAGAUGAGCUGGAAUUUGUAUUUUGACAAAUUGCACGUUAUGAUUAUUAAGUAAUGCAACUGAUUUUUUUUCCCUUAAAACAAACAAUCUAGAAUCUGUGUAAUCAAAAUAAUUUCUCUAAAAGGCUGCAAGUAUAUGCUUAAAAUUUUGGGGCAUUCAGAGCAUUUGGAACAUUACAUUCUUUUGAAUGUCAAUUGGUAGAUGAAAAUACCAGCUUUUAAGUCAUACAUUUGAUUUUUUGAAACAUUAAUAUGCAUUUAGAGUUUGUAAGUCAAGUGAGUAAUUGAUAAGGCAAAAAAAGGGGGAGUUCAUUGUUGAGUAUGAAUUUAAAGUAACCAGACUUCCUUUUUUCCAGUGGCUCUCAGUAAUUUACUUCAGCAGGCAUUUUUUUUUUUUGAGGAUGUUCUAUGAUAUGAUGACCCUUCUUGUAGGAAUGUGCUUCCAGUGGUGAGGCAGUCUGAGAAUGUGGGAAGCAGUAUAAUGAAGCCAGACCAAGAUUGAAGCUUGGCGUGGGAUUUGAGCAUGAGGAAAACUGUUGAAGGGUUAUGUAUACAUCUCACACACACACACACACACACACACACACACACACACUCUCUCUCUCUCUCUUCCGUACUCCCACAACAAUGUAUAGUAUUUACUAUACCUGGUGACAGAUAAUUACUAUACAUUGUCGAAGAUCUAUAACAUGGAAUGCCUAGUGCUAAGUGCAGUGUCCUUAGUGAAAUUAUAUUGGUUUGGAAUUAUUUAUGAGUUUGGGAUUAUUUGUCACUACGCUUAAAUGAUCGCGACACUCACCUAUUUGAAAAGAUAUUGAGGAUUUGCCAUUUGAUAUUGACCAGGGUGUAUUGUGCACAAAUAUUGUGAAUAUACAUCUCUCUGUCCUUAAAUCACUGUAAGUUUUAACUGGAAUAGAUUUGCUCCACAAUACUCAGUAGGGCUGAUAUUUCAUGCCUCAUGGAUGAGAAAAGAAUUGGCAAAAAUUAUAUCUCGGGCUGCCUCACACAUCUUUUAACAGGAUAAGGGAAAAAUAAAUAUAAGACCUAUGAGUUAUGGCAUCAGGCUUGAACUUUAAUUUAUGAAUUAAACCAAAAAUAUUAUUGAUUAUUGCAAUUAUCUAUGUUAAUUUCAUUUGUUCUCCUUUUAAAAAUUAUGUUUAUUUUACCUAUUGUGAAUAAAGUCACUCCUCCCAUGUGCUUAUUUCUUGACUCUGGCACUAAUUAUUCUUCAUUGCCUGGAUUUCCUGGGACUGCUCAGUUUAAGUAACUCCUGAACAUUGAACUCUGAGAGGAAAGACAGUAAAGUGGAAUCUGUGGAAAAACACAUCUGCAAAUGUCUCAUUUUUUUCUUCAGGGGUAAGUUUUCUUCCUUGGAGACUCUUGUCUUGAAAAAGUGAUGCUAGAUCACCAUUUAGCAAGAUAAUUACAAAAGGCAAAUAGAGUAUUUUACAUAGCUGUUAUAGGGUGACUAAGAACUCAGGGAAUGACUGUGUUCUGUAAUCCACUUGCCCCACUCAAUACCCCGAGUUUUAUACAAGCCAAAGAUGCUUGGAGCAGAAUAUGCUACCUGAGGCUCCAGGGCCUUGGCCUAGGGAAACUAAUACUUAGCCUUUUAAGUGGUCAUUGAUGACAUCCCACUCCUUUCUGAGAUGGGUAUGGUUUGAAAGGCAGGUACAUUCAUGGAGAGCAGGGCUUGGGAUCUUUGCUGCAAGCGGAGGAACUAUUAGCCUAGACUUUUCUAAGAGGGACUUUCUCAUACCUGUUUCCUAGAUCUGGUCCACAUAGAAGAAAUCAGGGAACACACAGGGCAGGACUCUUAAAGGAGUAUGUUUCUUGGCUUUUUCCUAAAAACUAAAACAAAAACAUUCAUAGCAAAGCAGUUUAGCCCAGUGACUAAGAGUAUAGACAUUGGAAUCUGACAGAUCUCGGUUGGAAUACUGCUUCAGCCAUUUACUAAUUAUGUAACUUCACAUCUCUGAGAAUGGGGGAAAUUUUAUUUGCAGGGUUGUUACAAAGCUUAAAAGAGUUAAGUUAAGUGCCUGGAACAGAACAGCCAUUCAAUAAAUGGUAGAAAUUUUUGUUUUUACACAAAUUUUUAAAAAGUAAUAUUUUUGCAUUUGUUAGAAAGACUAUAUUUUCUGUUUAGUGAAUAACAUCAUCAUCAUAAAAAUCACUGUUACAAGUUUUGUUUUGAGAAUUAAAAUCAUAUAUUAAUCCCAA
Molecule: non-coding RNA, 2850 nt
Filed under: Pongo abelii (Sumatran orangutan)
Lineage: Eukaryota; Metazoa; Chordata; Mammalia; Primates; Hominidae
Source: RNAcentral